GUGGUGGGGGUUAGUAGGUGUUGGAGGUUGUUCUGGUCUGGAGCGUCAGUGUGGUGGGGGUUAGUAGGUGUUGGAGGUUGUUCUGGUCUGGAGCGUCAGUGUGGUGGGGGUUAGUAGGUGUUGGAGGUUGUUCUGGUCUGGAGGGUCAGUGUGGUGGGGGUUAGUAGGUGUUGGACUGGGUUGUUCUGGUCUGGAGCAUCAGUGUGGUGGGGGUUAGUAGGUGUUGGAGGUUGUUCUGCUCUGGAGGGUCAGUGUGGUGGGGGUUAGUAGGUGUUGGAGGUUGUUCUGGUCUGGAGCGUCAGUGUGGUGGGGGUUAGUAGGUCUUGGAGGUUGUUCUGGUCUGGAGCGUCAGUGUGGUGGGGGUUAGUAGAUGUUGGACUUGGUUGUUCUGGUCUGGAGGGUCAGUGUGGUGGGGGUUAGUAGAUGUUGGACUUGGUUGUUCUGGUCUGGAGGGUCAGUGUGGUGGUGGUUAGUAGGUGUUGGAGGUUGUUCUGGUCUGGAGCGUCAGUGUGGUGGUGGUUAGUAGGUGUUGGAGGUUGUUCUGGUCUGGAGCAUCAGUGUGGUGGGGGUUAGUAGGUGUUGGAGGUUGUUCUGGUCUGGAGCAUCAGUGUGGUGGGGGUUAGUAGGUGUUGGAGGUUGUUCUGGUCUGGAGCGUCAGUGUGGUGGGGGUUAGUAGGUGUUGGAGGUUGUUCUGGUCUGGAGCGUCAGUGUGGUGGGGGUUAGUAGGUGUUGGAGGUUGUUCUGGUCUGGAGGGUCAGUGUGGUG
Ictalurus punctatus (channel catfish) is the source of this 765-nucleotide long non-coding RNA. The record is from Ensembl. Lineage: Eukaryota; Metazoa; Chordata; Actinopteri; Siluriformes; Ictaluridae.